GACGAACGCUGGCGGCGUGCUUAACACAUGCAAGUCGAGCGGUAAGGCCCGUUUCGGGGGUACACGAGCGGCGAACGGGUGAGUAACACGUGGGUGACCUGCCCUCAGCUCUGGGAUAAGCCUGGGAAACCGGGUCUAAUACUGGAUAUGACUCCAUGACGCAUGUUGUGGGGUGGAAAGCCUUGUGCGGCUGAGGAUGGGCCCCGCGGCCCAUCAGCUUGUUGGGUGGGGUGAUGGCCUACCAAGGCGACGACGGGUAGCCGGCCUGAGAGGGCGACCGGCCACACUGGGACUGAGACACGGCCCAGACUCCGUACGGGAGGCAGCAGUGGGGAAUCUUGCGCAAGUGGGACGAAAGCCUGACGCAGCGACGCCGCGU
Molecule: ribosomal RNA, 379 nt
Filed under: uncultured bacterium
Lineage: Bacteria
Description: bacterial SSU rRNA
Rfam family: Bacterial small subunit ribosomal RNA
Source: RNAcentral